ACUUGGACAAAAUGGAUGCGACGAGUACAAGGCCUCGCGUCAGUUUUGUCCAUGCGG
RNAcentral lists this microRNA precursor (57 nucleotides) under Saccoglossus kowalevskii. Its description in RNAcentral is "Sko-Mir-4819_pre stem-loop". Lineage: Eukaryota; Metazoa; Hemichordata; Enteropneusta; Harrimaniidae. The record is from RNAcentral.